CGAAGAUAUACGAAAUCACUCGUGUAUGUGAAAACCGGCUCCUACCGGCAGAGUUCGCAACGUACAACGCUUUGAGUGGACGCUCCGUAUCAUAUUAAUUCUUUUAUGCGCAAUUCGUUUGUAAUUUAGUGCGAAUAAAGUGUAAAAAUCAAGACUGUGCAAUCAAUUAAGAUCUUCUAUCCACGACAGCGUUCUUUAUAUCGUCGAUACCAGUUGAGACUCUGGCGUGGUCCGGGAAGCUGCGAAAUAGUAAGAAGUAAUAGAAAUAUCCUUCCGCCGUCGUAGGAUCAGUGGCGUCGAUCUUUCAAAAGGGAAUUUGAAGCUGUUCAUUAUUCUGAUCGAAGUCGUCGACACAAAGGCUCCGAAAGCAAGAGGAGAAAGAAGUGAGAAGAAAACUAUCUAUUUCAAAAAUAUUGGGUAAUGUAAAAAGUUUUGGAAAAAUUGCAAACUAUGUUGUUGAAAACGAUUAAACAAUCGUUUCUGUAAAUGUACUAUCGCAUUAACCGAAGAAACAAAGGUCGAG
RNAcentral lists this unclassified non-coding RNA (523 nucleotides) under Bombus terrestris (buff-tailed bumblebee). Its description in RNAcentral is "misc RNA ENSBTSG00005036802.1". The record is from RNAcentral. Lineage: Eukaryota; Metazoa; Arthropoda; Insecta; Hymenoptera; Apidae.